UAGGGAAUCUUCGGCAAUGGACGAAAGUCUGACCGAGCAACGCCGCGUGAGUGAAGAAGGUUUUCGGAUCGUAAAACUCUGUUGUUAGAGAAGAACAAGGACGUUAGUAACUGAACGUCCCCUGACGGUAUCUAACCAGAAAGCCACGGCUAACUACGUGCCAGCAGCCGCGGUAAUACGUAGGUGGCAAGCGUUGUCCGGAUUUAUUGGGCGUAAAGCGAGCGCAGGCGGUUUCUUAAGUCUGAUGUGAAAGCCCCCGGCUAAACCGGGGAGGGUAAUUGGAAAAGGGGAGAAUUGAGUGCAGAAGAGGAGAGUGGAAUUCCAUGUGUAGCGGUGAAAUGCGUAGAUAUAUGGAGGAACACCAGUGGCGAAGGCGGCUCUCUGGUCUGUAACUGACGCUGAGGCUCGAAAGCGUGGGGAGCAAACAGG
RNAcentral lists this ribosomal RNA (429 nucleotides) under Gemmatimonadota bacterium. Its description in RNAcentral is "Gemmatimonadetes bacterium partial 16S ribosomal RNA". It matches the Rfam family "Bacterial small subunit ribosomal RNA", at positions 355 to 776 of the family's 1533-position model. Lineage: Bacteria; Pseudomonadati; Gemmatimonadota. The record is from RNAcentral.